GUUCUACCUUGACGAAUUGUAGUUUAAAGAAGUGUUUUCUGUUAGAGGAGUAGCAAAAGUUCCUUGGAAUGGGACAUCAUAGAGGGUGAGAAUCCCGUAUUUGGUUAUUCUUUCUAGCUUUGUGAUACACUUUCAAAGAGUCGGAUUGUUUGGGAAUGCAGUCCAAAAUGGGUGGUAAAUUUCAUCUAAAGCUAAAUAUUGGCGAGAGACCGAUAGCGAACAAGUACCGUGAGGGAAAGAUGAAAAGAACUUUGAAAAGAGAGUUAAACAGUACGUGAAAUUGUCAAAAGGGAAGCGUUUGACACCAAUGUUGUUUUUCCGAAAAUCAAUUAAGAAGGGCUUGAUUUUGUGUUGUAUUGACCUUAUCAGCUUUCUUCACUCUUUUUCGAGUCUUUCUU
RNAcentral lists this ribosomal RNA (398 nucleotides) under uncultured Neocallimastigomycetes. RNAcentral describes it as "eukaryotic LSU rRNA". It matches the Rfam family "Eukaryotic large subunit ribosomal RNA", at positions 127 to 522 of the family's 3401-position model. The record is from RNAcentral. Lineage: Eukaryota; Fungi; Neocallimastigomycota; Neocallimastigomycetes.